RNAcentral lists this ribosomal RNA (728 nucleotides) under uncultured bacterium. Its description in RNAcentral is "bacterial SSU rRNA". It matches the Rfam family "Bacterial small subunit ribosomal RNA", at positions 773 to 1501 of the family's 1533-position model. The record is from RNAcentral.
CAGGAUUAGAUACCCUGGUAGUCCACGCCGUAAACGAUGUCGACUUGGAGGUUGUGCCCUUGAGGCGUGGUUUCCGGAGCUAACGCGUUAAGUCGACCGCCCGGGGAGUACGGCCGCAAGGUUAAAACUCAAAUGAAUUGACGGGGGCCCGCACAAGCGGUGGAGCAUGUGGUUUAAUUCGAUGCAACGCGAAGAACCUUACCUGGUCUUGACAUCCACAGAACUUUCCAGAGAUGGAUUGGUGCCUUCGGGAACUGUGAGACAGGUGCUGCAUGGCUGUCGUCAGCUCGUGUUGUGAAAUGUUGGGUUAAGUCCCGCAACGAGCGCAACCCUUAUCCUUUGUUGCCAGCGGUCCGGCCGGGAACUCAAAGGAGACUGCCAGUGAUAAACUGGAGGAAGGUGGGGAUGACGUCAAGUCAUCAUGGCCCUUACGACCAGGGCUACACACGUGCUACAAUGGCGCAUACAAAGAGAAGCGACCUCGCGAGAGCAAGCGGACCUCAUAAAGUGCGUCGUAGUCCGGAUUGGAGUCUGCAACUCGACUCCAUGAAGUCGGAAUCGCUAGUAAUCGUGGAUCAGAAUGCCACGGUGAAUACGUUCCCGGGCCUUGUACACACCGCCCGUCACACCAUGGGAGUGGGUUGCAAAAGAAGUAGGUAGCUUAACCUUCGGGAGGGCGCUUACCACUUUGUGAUUCAUGACUGGGGUGAAGUCGUAACAAGGUAACC